CGUCCGCAGGACGUGUUGAUAAAACAGAAUUUGCCUGGCGGCACUAGCGCGGUGGUCCCACCUGACCCCAUGCCGAACUCAGAAGUGAAACGCCGUAGCGCCGAUGGUAGUGUGGGGUCUCCCCAUGUGAGAGUAGGGAACUGCCAGGC
This 149-nucleotide ribosomal RNA is filed under the name Klebsiella quasipneumoniae. Lineage: Bacteria; Pseudomonadati; Pseudomonadota; Gammaproteobacteria; Enterobacterales; Enterobacteriaceae. The record is from RNAcentral.